CAUGAAGCUGGAAUCGCUAGUAAUCGCGGAUCAGAAUGCCGCGGUGAAUACGUUCCCGGGUCUUGUACACACCGCCCGUCACACCAUGGGAGUCGGAAAUGCCCGAAGCCGGUGGCCCAACCGGAAGGAGGGAGCUGCCGAAGGCAGGUCCGGUGACUGGGGUGAAGUCGUAACAAGGUAGC
Molecule: ribosomal RNA, 182 nt
Filed under: uncultured bacterium
Lineage: Bacteria
Description: partial 16S ribosomal RNA
Rfam family: Bacterial small subunit ribosomal RNA
Source: RNAcentral